AAAAGAUGUUACCCUCUAAGAAAGUCAGAGGUUGGUCUCCUGCAGGCAAGUGAAGGUAUCAAAGUCAGAGUAUUUGAGGUGAGGCAUCUUGACAGUGUGGUCAGGAAACUGGAAGCCAGGAUCCAGGACACAGUGAAGAAAGGAACCAGAGAAGAGAUAUCACCAUAGUCAGAGCUAAGAUUCAGCAGCUAAAACAGGAACUGCUGGAUGGGCAUCCGCAGUGCUUUGAGGCGAAGCAGCCCAAGAACUUGCCAGUCAAGAUGAAAAACUUCAUCUAAUGGAAUCCAGCUUGAAAGCAACUCAAGAGCAGCUAACUGAGCAAAGAGCAGAAAUAGUUCGUCAAGAACAGAACAGUACAAAAUCACAGGCAGAGCUGAAGACAGUGAGAGAACGUAUUAUUGCUUCUGAAGAAGAAUUUAAUGAUUUCAAUGGCUUGAACUUUGAGGGCCUGCCCCUCAUUUGAAGAGUGAUGCUGCAGCAAGGUAAGAUCCUCAAAGUUGUCCAAAAAGUAUUGUCAAGCAGUGUCUUUUUAAUUUUUAAGAUAAAGAUAAUUAUUUUUUAAAAAAUGCAAGAGGUAUUUUUUUGAGAA
This 589-nucleotide long non-coding RNA is filed under the name Monodelphis domestica (gray short-tailed opossum). RNAcentral describes it as "lncRNA (ENSMODG00000031484.2)". Lineage: Eukaryota; Metazoa; Chordata; Mammalia; Didelphimorphia; Didelphidae. The record is from RNAcentral.